RNAcentral lists this ribosomal RNA (429 nucleotides) under bacterium. RNAcentral describes it as "partial 16S ribosomal RNA". It matches the Rfam family "Bacterial small subunit ribosomal RNA", at positions 355 to 776 of the family's 1533-position model. The record is from RNAcentral.
UAGGGAAUCUUCCACAAUGGACGCAAGUCUGAUGGAGCAACGCCGCGUGAGUGAAGAAGGUUUUCGGAUCGUAAAGCUCUGUUGUUGGUGAAGAAGGAUAGGGGCAGUAACUGGUCUUUAUUUGACGGUAAUCAACCAGAAAGUCACGGCUAACUACGUGCCAGCAGCCGCGGUAAUACGUAGGUGGCAAGCGUUGUCCGGAUUUAUUGGGCGUAAAGCGAGCGCAGGCGGAAUGAUAAGUCUGAUGUGAAAGCCCACGGCUCAACCGUGGAACUGCAUCGGAAACUGUCAUUCUUGAGUGCAGAAGAGGAGAGUGGAAUUCCAUGUGUAGCGGUGGAAUGCGUAGAUAUAUGGAAGAACACCAGUGGCGAAGGCGGCUCUCUGGUCUGCAACUGACGCUGAGGCUCGAAAGCAUGGGUAGCGAACAGG